GUAGUCGUGGCCGAGCGGUUAAGGCGAUGGACGAGAAAGCCAUUGGGCUCAGCCCGCGCAGGUUCGAAUCCUGCUGACUACG
RNAcentral lists this transfer RNA (82 nucleotides) under Saccoglossus kowalevskii. RNAcentral's name for it is "tRNA-Ser". It matches the Rfam family "tRNA". Rfam says of the family: Transfer RNA (tRNA) molecules are approximately 80 nucleotides in length. Their secondary structure includes four short double-helical elements and three loops (D, anti-codon, and T loops). Further hydrogen bonds mediate the characteristic L-shaped molecular structure. tRNAs have two regions of fundamental functional importance: the anti-codon, which is responsible for specific mRNA codon recognition, and the 3' end, to which the tRNAs corresponding amino acid is attached (by aminoacyl-tRNA synthetases). tRNAs cope with the degeneracy of the genetic code in two manners: having more than one tRNA (with a specific anti-codon) for a particular amino acid; and 'wobble' base-pairing, i.e. permitting non-standard base-pairing at the 3rd anti-codon position. Lineage: Eukaryota; Metazoa; Hemichordata; Enteropneusta; Harrimaniidae. The record is from RNAcentral.